UGCGAUACGUAAUGCGAAUUGCAGGAUUCAGUGAGUCAUCGAAAUUUUGAACGCAUAUUGCACUUCCGGGUUAGUCCUGGGAGUAUGCCUGUAUCAGUGUCCGUACAUCAAACUUGGCUUUCUUCCUUCCGUGUAGUCGGUGGAGGAUGUGCCAGAUGUGAA
Molecule: ribosomal RNA, 162 nt
Filed under: Phytophthora citrophthora
Lineage: Eukaryota; Oomycota; Peronosporomycetes; Peronosporales; Peronosporaceae
Description: 5.8S rRNA
Rfam family: 5.8S ribosomal RNA (bases 1-102)
About the family: 5.8S ribosomal RNA (5.8S rRNA) is a component of the large subunit of the eukaryotic ribosome.
Source: RNAcentral